Molecule: ribosomal RNA, 647 nt
Filed under: Saccharopolyspora sp.
Lineage: Bacteria; Bacillati; Actinomycetota; Actinomycetes; Pseudonocardiales; Pseudonocardiaceae
Description: bacterial SSU rRNA
Rfam family: Bacterial small subunit ribosomal RNA
Source: RNAcentral
GNCGUCGCGGCCUUAUCAGCUUGUUGGUGGGGUGAUGGCCUACCAAGGCGACGACGGGUAGCCGGCCUGAGAGGGUGACCGGCCACACUGGGACUGAGACACGGCCCAGACUCCUACGGGAGGCAGCAGUGGGGAAUCUUGCGCAAUGGGCGAAAGCCUGACGCAGCAACGCCGCGUGGGGGAUGACGGCCUUCGGGUUGUAAACCUCUUUCGACAUCGACGAAGCCUUCGGGUGACGGUAGGUGUAGAAGAAGCACCGGCUAACUACGUGCCAGCAGCCGCGGUAAUACGUAGGGUGCGAGCGUUGUCCGGAAUUAUUGGGCGUAAAGAGCUCGUAGGCGGUUUGUCGCGUCGGCCGUGAAAACCUGCCGCUUAACGGUGGGCGUGCGGUCGAUACGGGCAGACUUGAGUUCGGUAGGGGAGACUGGAAUUCCUGGUGUAGCGGUGAAAUGCGCAGAUAUCAGGAGGAACACCGGUGGCGAAGGCGGGUCUCUGGGCCGAUACUGACGCUGAGGAGCGAAAGCGUGGGGAGCGAACAGGAUUAGAUAGCCCUGGUAGUCCACGCCGUAAACGGUGGGCGCUAGGUGUGGGGACUGUUGCCACGGUUCCUGCGACGUAGUCGUGAACGCAUCUAAGCGCCCCGCCGG